GGUCAAACAGUGUAUUUUUGGAGCGGCAACCUCUGGAAUUCUCAAAGUCCUCAUCGUCCCAUAGAUCUGCUGGGGCUUGGCUGGGAGCCCUGUUCCCUGAAAUACCGCAGAACUGGCUUCUGAGGAGAGGCGACGUGAGCUGCUGAGCUCCAGGUUGCUGCUGUUUCCCUCCCUCAGGAUGACGCGUUCCUGCAUGUGUUGGAUGGCACCUGGCUCGGAUCGUGCCGUGGUGUGGCACUCUGGGACACCUAGGAAGGUUUGCUGUGUGAUGGAGUCCAUGCUGUCUCCAUCCUCCCUUCGGUCUCCGAAUGCCUGGCUUAUCGAGGUGGCCUCUUGUCUCAUGCUCAUGGAAGAGAACAGGAAGGUGGCUGUGGUUGUGCUGCAUGUGAGAAAGUGAGGACAUGCUCAGGAAGCAUGCAACAAGGACGAGCCAGAGAACUUAGUCUGAUGAAGCAAGUUUUCAUCUAAAUCUACUUGUCUGGUGAUAAGUCCCAUUUCAGGUGACGUAAUUUGGCCUUAGUAGGCUUCUCAUUUCAUGAACACUCUGUAAAUGCCGGUGAUUUAAUGGAAUGCAUUCUAACUUGUUUCCUAAAUUUUCACCAAUCAAAACUGUGUACUGAUUUGGGAGCUGGGAGUGGCUGUCUCAUUGUAAGUAGUGGCAUUAGAGAUGCCCUGUUCGCUGAGGCCCAUUCCUUCAGCUGAAGUUUAUAGAAUGUCAAAAGUUACAAUAUUUACUGCUUUUCAGCACAGGCAGCACACUUACAGAUGACCUUAUUAUGGGAAGAAGCUGCAUACAGACAGGCUUCUGCUACCCGUGGCAGAAAAAAGGUUUGAUCUGAGCAGGACCUCUCCAGACCCCUUCACCCUCACUUGGGAGGAAAAAUCGAACAGUGAGGAGAACAUGCUCAGAGGAGUUGGAUUACAGCUUACACGUGUAUUCGAACCCAAAGUUACACAAUUUCACGAAGAACUGUGUGCAGAAAUGGUUUCUGAUUUUGCUUACAAUGGCCGAGAGUUUGUAAGAGAUUUGGAGGGACAUAACAUUUAUUUCCUACUUCCCUGAGCUUCAGUCCAGGCCUUGGAAAAACCCAUCUGACAGUGAGUUUGUUUGUAUAUUUCAAAUUUUUUCCUAAGUAUGCUAGGCUCAUUAGCAAGCCUUGGAAAAUGCAUACUUUGUUGAAGUUAAUAUGGAAAACAAGAUACUGAGGGCUCAAAUCUGUCUCCAGAAUAUAAAUAAGCAUACCUUCCUUUGGAGCAGGUUUUGACUGGAGUCAUACUGGAACCCUUGUUUCUGGGAGAGUUACGAAUGUGCUUUGCUAGGAAAUGCUGUUCCUUAAAGAGCUCGUGAGGCCUACAGGGUCUACAUGAAUUCUGAUCCUGCAUGUGCAUGGCACUAGGUGGCCUGAACAAGACCUCACUUGUGUUGGCAGGAGAUGCUAAUGGCAGGUACUUUGCCAUGGAAGACCCUGGGAUGCUUGGCUGCAACACGUCAUGAGGACAUGGCAGUGACAGCUCAAUGCUGACCAGACUUCUUCAACCAAUAUGCAACACGUUUAAAUGGCAGAGGAGCCCAACCAAAAGGUGUUGCUCAAAAUGGUGCUUCGAAGGCUUAACCAGUGAAAUAACUCUUGACAUUGCAUGAAGCGGUCAUAUUUACCUCUGCCUCUCCAUUUCUAUGAUAAUUUUUGAAUUCAAAGAUUGGAUCUGAGAAUUUCGUAUGAAUUAAAUGUCUGUGUGAGCUCUGCUUCCCCACUUGGCACAAGGUGGUUGUUUCCUCCUGGAUCAGAAUUCAUACUUUCCAUUAAGCCAAAGUAAUUUCUGUUCACCACUGUCACACUAAGUUGGGUCCUUUGGUGAUCCCCUCAUUCCAAAAGUCCAGUUGUUAAGUAAGCUUUGAUUAAAGGGGUCUCUUUUUUAAGCCAAGCUUAUGGCAAUGUUAGCGAAUGCUAAGAGAGCAGAACUGCAAGGUACUGAAGGACGUGGGGUGUCUCAAAUUGCUGCUAGAGAAAAAUGCAUUCUGAGGCAAUGUGUAAAGAUUUUCAUUUGAAACUUGCUCUGGUAUUCAAGUCCCCCCAAGCAAUGAUGUACUUGGCUCUUCAGCUACUAACUAGAGGAGUACGUGCAUGGCUCUGAGCAUGGCACCAGGAGGCACCUUCCUGCUCUGAUUGCUGAAGUACUUCAGGCUGCAGUACCAUGUGGCAAACUGCAAAGUCCUUUUCACCAUCCACUGCUCUGGCUGCAAGUAUUCUUUAUUAUAUUAUGCCUGUGAUAGAGGAAACAUUUUCAUCUUUACAGCGUGAUUAGUUUUGUAGGGUUCAACAGCUUUCCACGUUGCUCUUUAUCUGGAAUCACAUUGUGCAGCAUCAUUUAGUUGUGGUGAAGAUAACAACAUUAUAUGCUGUGAAGGGACAGCUAGAUGAAUGCUACCCCCCUCAGGUAAACUGUUUUUGUGCAUGUGCAAUUGUAAAUGGUGGAAAAGAAUGCCUUUCUGUAUUGUCUGUAGCUCUAUUUUUUGCAGCAAAACUGCAUUUAGCUCACCACAACUAAGUGCACAGUUAGUAGAAGGAAUGCUCUGCCUAAGUAUCUGUUCAAAACCCUCUGUGUAUUUGAUUAAACCUUUCAGUAGCCAGCAAAGCUCCUGAUGAAUGCAUGUGCAGCAAAACAUUUGGACUCAUAUGCAGUGCUGCAGCUUAAGUUGGUUAAUCCUAAACCAACAACUCCAGUAAUAAGCAAAUUUCUGAGCUAACUGUCGGAUCAGACUUCAGCUAUCUAUUGCUGGUGUGCACUGAAGAUCAGUGCUUUUCUCAGGCACUGGUGUUUUGAUUUUCAUCUACCUGCAUGAGAUGAUGCUUUUUUUUUUUAUUUUAAUUGGGGAAUUUGCAUUCAGGAAAAUUACACAACUCUCCAAAAAGGAACAGGUGUUCAUAGCUGUUGGAAGAGGUCUAUGUCUUCCAUCACAGACCUGGCUUCUUCCUCAACUCAUUUGCUCCAGGAGGGUUUUAAAACUGUUUUUUGUAAGAGGAAAUGUACUGUCUUGUACUGAACAGAGGCAGAACUAAUUUAUUCUAACUUGGUUUUCAUCUGAAGAUGUUUUCUUGGGAAUUGUAGCUACAGAAUCAGGUAACAUGAAGGGAUGGACUGGGACCUCUCCUUUACAACUAAUUAUUGCUGUUUCUUCUACGAAAGUCAUGGAAAAAGUCCCUCCCAUAAUUACCUUAUAAUGAAUGUCUCAUUCCUUUGCAGAAACCAGUGUGCAGUAAUUAUUUCUUAAAAGUUCUGAUUGCUUCUCUGACCCCUAGAUAAGUAUCAUCAGGAUCACUAGCAGCCAUGGAAGGCAGCUCUGUCUGCACAGAAGUGGAACGUGCUUGGUUCCAUGAGCACAUGCUGCUGGAACGUGUCAAGCUUUUGGUCUACCAGAACCCCCACGUCCUUGUCCACAGGGCUGCUCUCCAGGAGAUCUUCUCUCAGUCUGUACACACAUCUGGGAUUGCUCUGACCCAAGUGCAACAGCUUGCACUUGGCCUGUUGAACCUUGUAGGUUCACGUGGGCUCACUUUUCAAGCAUUUCCAGGUCCCUCUGGAUGGGACCUUCCUCUGCUGCACCUCUGCAACACUCAACUUGGUGUUGUCUACACAUAGCCUGAACAAGAUCAGAUGAGGUGAGCAUUUCAGAGCACAGCCAGUCCCACUGUGUCAGGACCACCUGGGGGAACAGCACUGACACCCCUUCACUCCUUGUGUCAUCGGGGUCUUCGGAAGACUUCUCCCAGGAAAGCCUUUAAGUGAAUUUCCUGCUGCUGCUCAUUAAUGUUUUGCUAGUUUUAAUUUCUUCCUUGUCUUGUAUCACUAAUCAAGAAGUAAUUGAAUUAGCUGAAAAGAAGGAUAAGACAAAUUGGCUGAGAAGAAUUAACUGUGUGCACCCGAGGUCAGCAGGCUCCUAGAAAAUUCAAGGUGAGAAUUAGUUGGACUAUAACUGAGAUUCAGCGGGAAGUUACUAAGUUCUCUGGAGAAUCAAGAUGCAGAAAUGCAAAUGACAGUCUAACCAUGAAAACCUAGCUAUAUCUGAAAGUAUUUGGGCAAUUCCUUUCUAUUUCAAGACAGGAGAGCAAAGGACAGCACUUACAUUCUUUCCAACUGCUUUGUUUAAUGAAGGGAAUUUCCCUGAAGUUUGACUUUUCAUCCUUGUGUGAAUCGGCUUUGCCAGGAAGAUAUUUCUCCUUCUGUAUUGAUAUUAAGGCAGUAAAUUGUCUGUCCCUGCUUUCACUUGCUCGACUUUUUUUUUUUUUUCAUGGUUGCUCUGUAAUUUAAGUUCAUCUUUCAUGAAAACCAUAUGUUGGAUUAAAGGCAGGGUAUUAUUUUCAUGCAUUGUAAUAUACUCUGUUAGCUCCUCCAUUACAGUGCCAUGUUAAAGUAAUUAUUAUUCCACGUGUCACUGUGAAUGCGUUUAAGAUUCUUUAGGUCUUCUCUAGCAGGAGCUGAUUUCCACUCCUGAUUAACUGCUCUCAUUCUUUUUAUACGUCGGAAUUAGCUAAGCAUAAGCUUAUAAUUAUUUUACAGGAAGACUUUUAGAAAUAUGAAAAAGUCAUGCUAAAAUAAUUAGAAAACGAAUUAGAUUGCAAUUCAUGAAAACCGUAAGCUAAUGACAGUAAUUAACUUAAUACUUGACAAAACCUAAAUAAGCAUAACUAAGUAAUGAUAUAAAGAAAGGAAGUUUCAGUCUUGAACAGAAAUGCCUUAAAACAGUUGAAAGAAGCAGUUUAUACUAUUGCAUUUGUUUGAUCAUUGUAUUUGCUCUUUUGGAGAAAGGCUGAAACUAGUUGGCUUCUACAAGUUUAUGAGCUUGUUUUUCUGUAGCAGGACUAAACUGACUGUACUGAAGGCAUAGAAAGAGGCCCCAUUCGAUAACCUUAUCACUGAUACUCUCCUUUCACCAAACCUCAGCUGUAGCCGUAUUAAAUAGAAGCACAGAAAAUGGUGUAGUAACCUCACCAUCUGCUCUGCAGCUUAGUUUGUGUUCUGCAGUUGGAGCUGAAAAUACGUUGCUUCAAAUUGUGAGUUAAGUCGCUGAAAUGAGAUGGGACCCCUGCAGCCUAAUCCAUAGGAACCAGCCAACUCUUUUGAGUUUCCCGUGUUUGAUUAGUUGUAAUGUAAUUAAAGAAAUUACCAAUAGUCCGCUGUCUGGAUGUGAUUAACUCACCAAGUGCUCGUACCUAUAUUCUUUGAGCAUCUCCAAAUAAUUUAGGGCCUCAUUUAUGUUCCUUAACAAGGAAAUAAAUGAAAAUCGUCUACAGCCUUAAUACAGUGGCUUGUGCUACAAGCUGUUCUAUCUUGUGCCUUGGUGAUGCCUGCUCAAUUGUUUCUGAUUAUGCUGCAUUAUAAUUAAAGAACCAGAAAUGCUAUUUGCCUAAAUGAGAACAUGCUGCCCAGUACAGGAGGGAGGGAAGGAAAUCAGAUAAAGAUGAGAGCCUUCUAAGCAAAUCAAACCCAGAAUGUCUGAUGAUGCUGCACAUAGACGUGGAGCUGUGGAUGGGACUGCUUUAGCUGCUGGUAAAUUUCUUCUGGGCUCUUCAGAAUUGGAGUUUUUGAUGAUAGUGACUUUUGUUCUUAAAAUAAAUGCAGGUCAGGUUGUUUUUGAAGAGCAGCAAAAGGGUGCAUUCAUGCUUGCUGCUGCUGUCCCACUGCCCUUGAGCUCUGUUGCUCCCUGAGCUUCGUGCUUUCUUUCUAACCAUGCGUACUGGAAGGUUGGGAAAAAUCCAAGCAUGCACGUCCCAUGAGCUGGGCAGCACCUGGGGACAGCACAGGGAUGCAGCUGCAGAUCUGCUUGGUCCCUGCCGAGUGCUGGCUUUCAGCACAGCCUGCUGCCUGCCGGGACAACCUGACAGCAACAGCACAUUGUGUGAGAAGUAACCUGAUUUUCUCCAGGAUGGGGCAGAGCAGGGCUCAUGGAAAUGAAGAAGGGCUGAUGGGAUGUUUUUGUUUUGUCUGUCAGAUGUGUUCUGAUGAUAUUCCUGUGUGUUUUCACAGUAAGUGAAUGUGUAGCUUGCACCCUGAGCUGCCCUGCACAUCUUUGAGGUGAUGUGGUUCCACGCUGACCCAACACUCCUACAGUCUAUCAUGUAGCUUCUUCUACCCACAGAGUGAGGAGAACAGGGAGUUAACCUUCUGUAAUGUGAACAUUAAUGCAAAUCAUAGAAUGGCCUGGGUUGAAAAGGACCACAAUGCUCAUCCGGUUCCAAUCCUCAUCUGCUGAGUGCAGGGUAACCAACCAGCAGACCAGGCUGCCCAGGGCCACAUCCAGCCUGGCCUUGAAUGCCUGCAGGGAUGGGGCAUCCACAGCCUCCUUGGCAACCUGUUCCAGUGCCUCACCACCCUCUGUGUGAAAAUGACUUAAAACAAGCAGCACUGUGUGACAGGUGUCACGAGGAGAGAUGAGAUGCCACAUUCAGUAGGUUCUUGAGGCACUCUGCACUACUUUGGGUGAGACCACAAAGUGCUUGUUACCAGUUCUAGAAAUGGUAUUGGAAAUAGAUGAGUGCUUAUAGAUUUGGAUUAUGUUUGUUGUUAGCUACUAAAAUAGCUAUUAAAAUAGUUGCUGAGAUAUUUGGUGGGGCUUUUACUUGGCAGAGCAUUUGUAUUUGAUCUCACUGUUAUAUGCAUUACACUUCUGUAAUACAUAAACAGAGCUUUUCAAUGCACAGAGCCUAUUCUAUCCCACUGAAAGACUAAUUGAUAAGAAAAUCACCCAUCUGUGGAGAGCAGCAUUUUCUUGGGACCUGAUAGAUCACACUGUGCACAUUUCCUUAGCUCCUCCACGAACAUUUGCUGUUAUACACUUCAGUUGCUUGCACCAGAAUUUGUGUUAUUCUGGCAUAUGACAUGUAGUAAGGGGCUUUUACAGUAAAUAAAAUGUAUGGCUUCAUUUGCUGCAGUGUGCAAAUGAAAGCUCUGUGACGUGUCAUACGGGAACAGCUGCUUACUCAGCAUCUGGCGUUGGCUGCUGAUUGUCCUCCAGCUGUAGAAACAAAAGAUUAGCAAAUAAGUAAAUCUGUGUGGGAAGUCUGACUGCCUUGUGCAAGGCACUACCUUCUGUAUCUCGCCGUGGCAUUACAGUCACUGCAGGUUUGAUAGACACAUCACUGGACUUGGAGUAGAACCUAAGGCUCAGCAGGGUUGGUGGCCUGUCCUCACACCAAAUGGGGGAUGAAACUGGAAGCUGAAGAACCCCUAUCUGCAAAGUGCAUUUCCAUCAUCUUGUUUUCUCUAAUUUGUCUGUUUUGGUUGCAAAUUCUCAGGAGGCAGAAGCUGUCUCAUCCCGUGGGUUACUCAGUGCUCAGUACAGCAUGUCUUCAUCAUGGCUGGUAUUUCUAAGAAUUACAGCUUUUCCAAACAAAUAUGCAUCACGGGGAAAUAAUAACGCUCAUCCUUCGUGAAUGUCCUAUCCAGCAUUGCAGGGAUUAGGUGGAAAUAGAGGAUAAAACUACUUUUCUGGUUCUAAAAAUAAUUUUUCUGGGUCAUGUGGAAAAUCAUUGUGGAGGUUAUUUGUGGGAGUUCAAAUGUUCAGUUGUUCUACUUUCCUUUUUCUAGGAAUUACUGCAUGGCAGCGUGUCAGCCUCCAAAAUUCUCAAAAAGCCCAUGAAAAGAGCUGCUGUAUUUCCUUUGGAAAAACAGGAUGGCAGUGUAAGAAAAAAAAAAAUUAAAAGUGUUAGAAUGUGUUACAGCUUUACUUUAUUGGGGAUUUGGAAAUGUCAGAGAGUUUCGGAUGUACUGAUGGGUGUCACCAUUCAAACUGGACACGGAAUUCAUUUGAGGAUGGAGUUUGUUGUCCUCAACGCCUUGUGACCUGCUGUGAGGACAGGGGUGCUGCCCAGCAGUGGAAACGUGUCAGUGGAAAAUCACGAGGUUUUCUUUGAGGAACAAUGACAUUUUUCAAAGGUUAGCAGCGUGCAGUAAAGAAAGUCAAUGAGAUGACAGCUUGGACAAUCCUCAAAGCCAAGGCAGAGCCACUGGUGUGCCUGGCCUGGGAUGCACAGCCGUGAGCGAGGCUUUGUGACAGCAGUAACCUGUAAAGCUUGAGCAGAGGAGGUGGCUUUCCUGAAAGCUCCUGGCAGAGCCAGGCUGCUGAAACAGCAGGACUGCUGACCAGCAGUUCCUGCUCUCUUUACUGUUUGCCAAAACGUAAUUUAUUAUUAUUUUUUUUUACAGCCAGUGACUGAAAAUAGGAAAAAAUAGAAGAGCGCGAUGCGGUGCUGGCACAGCGCAUAGCAAGUCGUUUCCUGAUAUUAAAACAGUUGUCAAGCCACAGGUCGUAAGCACUGCCAUUUGCAAUUCUUUCUGUUGAAUCAAAGGAAGUCAGAUCUGAUUAUACAGCAGAUAGGUUACUUCUAAGUAGAAGCAGACUUUUAAAGGCUACUUUGCUCUUUUUUGGCACUGGAUGUUUAAUUAUAAUUAAAAAAAAAAACCAACAAAUCAAGAGAGGAGUUUCUGUCUCUUUGCCCUCUUUAAUGUUUUCCAGCACAGAAUGCCUCUUAAAUAGUUGCAUCAUUAACAUUUCUCCUCCUCCUCUGCUGUGGCACCGGCUGAGAAGAUGCUGAAGCACAGGUGCUUGUCACCUGCCUGAGGGCGGGCGCACAGCCAGGAACUGAAGCACAGCAAUCUGAGCAGCUGUAAGCCGAUCUCUUCAGCCUGAGUUCAUUUACUUGGCUCCAAUUUGUAGUCUGCCUUAAUACACGUUUAGCAGUGAAUCUGGCAAAACUGAAAACUGUUUGCGCUAUAAAAUACAACUUUCUAGCAUGGUAUCAAAACCUGAUGAUAAAUUUGACACGCUGGGAGGCAGAGGUUUGGGUCAGAAGAAAGAUGACUUAGAACUAAGUCAAGCUAAAUGCUGAAGGGAACUUGGCAUAGUAAAACUGCCAUAGGCAGGGGAAAAUUAUGACUUUACUGAAGAAGAGAAAAAAAGCUUUACUACUGGCUUCUGACCUUAUUGGCUUCUCAAAUGUAUACAAGGGAAUGGAGAAUAAUUACCAAACAAUUUGUAGUGAGAAUUGGCUGCUCCAUGUCGUGCUAGAUGCACGUGCUGCCUUCGCUGCAGCAUCCUCUGCCAGCGCUUCCCUCUCUGUGCG
Long non-coding RNA from Tympanuchus pallidicinctus (lesser prairie-chicken), 9119 nucleotides. RefSeq lists it as uncharacterized. The record is from RefSeq and is a predicted model, not a curated record. The transcript is spliced from 3 exons. NCBI's taxonomy places the organism in Eukaryota, Metazoa, Chordata, Aves, Galliformes, Phasianidae.